Molecule: ribosomal RNA, 497 nt
Filed under: uncultured bacterium
Lineage: Bacteria
Description: partial 16S ribosomal RNA
Rfam family: Bacterial small subunit ribosomal RNA
Source: RNAcentral
GAUGAACGCUGGCGGCGUGCCUAAUACAUGCAAGUCGAGCGAACAGACGAGGAGCUUGCUCCUCUGACGUUAGCGGCGGACGGGUGAGUAACACGUGGAUAACCUACCUAUAAGACUGGGAUAACUUCGGGAAACCGGAGCUAAUACCGGAUAAUAUAUUGAACCGCAUGGUUCAAUAGUGAAAGACGGUUUUGCUGUCACUUAUAGAUGGAUCCGCGCCGCAUUAGCUAGUUGGUAAGGUAACGGCUUACCAAGGCAACAAUGCGUAGCCGACCUGAGAGGGUGAUCGGCCACACUGGAACUGAGACACGGUCCAGACUCCUACGGGAGGCAGCAGUAGGGAACCUUCCGCAAUGGGCGAAAGCCUGACGGAGCAACGCCGCGUGAGUGAUGAAGGUCUUCGGAUCGUAAAACUCUGUUAUUAGGGAAGAACAAAUGUGUAAGUAACUAUGCACGUCUUGACGGUACCUAAUCAGAAAGCCACGGCUAACUACGUG